AAUGCAAAUAUGUAAAUUUAAUAACAUGUAUUUACUUUGUAGUAUUUAUAAUAUUACAUUUAAUAUUUUCCCAUACAAUAUAGAUGGAUUUUUGUACAUUGCUUUUAUAUUUUAGGAAGAGUGUCCAUCGCAAACAGAUCGUCAUGUUCGGGAGUCCUUGGCAUGAAAAAGUUUCAAAAUCAAAUCUCCACUAGAUGGUGCUGCUGGUUCCAAUGACUAGAUCAAUAAUGAAACAUAGGUUUUACUUCUUCUUGACACAGUUUAGCAUUCACUGGUUUCCUUUUUCACUAAUAGAGAAAAGAGAUGACACUAUAAUGCAAUAUUGUAUGCGAUAUUUCUCCACAGACGGGCUCUGUAUUGGGGACUGUGGGAGGGGCUCAAUCGGCAUGUUGGAGAUCAGCCCAGUACGCUUCAGUUCACUUGAGAUUGAUUAUUCUCCAGAGACGGCGAGGCAGCAGGCCAGACCACAGAUAUAUAGCAGCGAACAUCACAGUGAACAGUGAGAACAGAGAAACAUCACACCAAACGGCACAGAGAAGACUAAGAAAGGUUGUAAUUACUUCACUUUCCUUUGUACGUUUUUGGAAGAAAGAGAGAAAAAUAAACUUUGCACCAUCUCAGACGAAUGCAGACAGCCUAAGAAUAGCAGGCUGUCUGAGAAUAACCUUCACAUCACGCACGCACACAAUAUCUGCCUCUGUUUCUGCGGUUACAGGGAUUAGCAGUGACUCACCAUGUAAGUCCUUACUGUUUCCCUCCCUCUCGGAGAGCGCAAUACGGACAUCAGUCAUUCCACACCGUGUGUUUACCCUGCUGCAGGUCCUGCGGGAUCAUGGGAGCGUGUGUGGACUAGCAGUGCUUCAUUUUAUUGGAUGGGUCUUAACUGAAGAGCUGUGAUGAGCCAUUGCAGUGGAGAUGUCUUUUGCUCUAGAAAUGUCUGAAUUUGACACUGAGUCUGAAAGUAAAUGAAAAUCCCACUGACACUGAGAAAUUAUUUUGAGUCUACUCUAUGGAUGAUCAACAGUUAAGAUUGUAAAUGAACUGCUAAGUUAAAAUAUAAACCAUGUCUAAUUUGUAACUUUUGUGGUAAUGGGCAUUCAAAUUUUUGUCAAAAAAUUUACUUUUAAGACCUCUAAAACUGUUUUUGGGACUCCAGUUCAU
This is a long non-coding RNA of Megalobrama amblycephala (Wuchang bream), 1161 nucleotides long. RefSeq lists it as uncharacterized. The transcript has 3 exons. NCBI's taxonomy places the organism in Eukaryota, Metazoa, Chordata, Actinopteri, Cypriniformes, Xenocyprididae. The record is from RefSeq and is a predicted model, not a curated record.